GCCUAGAGAAUUAGAAACACCCGGUCCUGCGUUUGCAGCAGACGGGAAAACGGCUGCGGGCGACAGGUGGUAAGAGGCCCGGGUUCUCGCCGCCAUGUUUAUUGGGGGCAAUAUUCCGUGAACGCCCGCGUUGCCGCCAUCUUUAUUGGGAGCAAGAUGCUGCAGGGCGCGUGCGCAGUCUUUGACUACGCUCACAGAUUAAGCUCAAACCAAGAGGAAUGUGAGUCUCUGCUGCAAUUUUAUUCCAGAAUGAACGUCUGAAGGAUUUUUCUGUGGUAAACCCCUUUUCUAGGAAAUGGGAAGGAUUGGUCCACGAGAAACCCAAACGAAACAUGUCAUCACGACCUGACAGAGUCAUUCCAUUCAUCAGCACCUUGAAUGUCACCAGCUUUUGAAUGUGAAAGAAGAAAUGUUUAUCCUUGAAAAAGGAUUUCAGAACAUUUGAGAAGGACGUGAAGUGACAUCGCCUACUCACUGGGUAAUUCCUGAACUGUGAGAUUUUUCUCUGACUUCACUUCUUCCCAUAGAUUUCCGGCUGCCGACUCCAGUAGGGGAUUUUUCAAAGCACAAUAAUUGUUUGAAAGAACAGUUUCACAGGAGAUAUUAAGUGGGAGGAUUUGAGGUCGGAAAGGUGAAACCGAAAUCAUAUUAGGAUCUGAUGAAGUUGCCCAAUUCGUUGGAACCUUUUAAGAUCACUGGAUUUUAAACAUGGAAGGAAACA
Non-coding RNA from Chiloscyllium plagiosum (whitespotted bambooshark), 721 nucleotides. Lineage: Eukaryota; Metazoa; Chordata; Chondrichthyes; Orectolobiformes; Hemiscylliidae. The record is from RefSeq and is a predicted model, not a curated record.